CAAUCCAAUUCCCAUCUGACUGAUAAUUGUCAAUCCUCUUCAGAGGACGAGUAUCAUUCCAUCGAUAUAAGGAAAGAAGAAUCAUUGUACAGCGAAACUGUACAGCCUUCAGAAAAUGCAGAAAAUUUCGGUACUUGGAUAAAUUCGUGAACGUGCCAUGCAGAUCUGAAAUUAAGGACCGUACAGAUAUUAUCGAUUCAUCACUCGCAAAUUAAUUUCGCUCGAUUUGCAAAUGCAAAGUAUAAAACAAGGG
This is a long non-coding RNA of Cyphomyrmex costatus, 253 nucleotides long. RefSeq lists it as uncharacterized. The record is from RefSeq and is a predicted model, not a curated record. NCBI's taxonomy places the organism in Eukaryota, Metazoa, Arthropoda, Insecta, Hymenoptera, Formicidae. The transcript has 3 exons.